RNAcentral lists this ribosomal RNA (401 nucleotides) under uncultured bacterium. Its description in RNAcentral is "bacterial SSU rRNA". It matches the Rfam family "Bacterial small subunit ribosomal RNA", at positions 362 to 776 of the family's 1533-position model. The record is from RNAcentral.
UAUUGGGCAAUGGAGGAAACUCUGACCCAGCAAUACCGCGUGAAGGAUGAAGGUCUUCGGAUUGUAAACUUCUGUUAUAAAGGAAGAAUAAAAUGACGGUACUUUAUAAGUAAGCCCCGGCAAACUAUGUGCCAGCAGCCGCGGUGAUACAUAGGGGGCAAGCGUUGUCCGGAAUGACUGGGUGUAAAGGGUGUGUAGGUGGCUUAUUAAGUUAGAAGUGAAAUACCUAGGGCUUAACCCAGGUGCUGCUUCUAAAACUGAUAGACUUGAGUGCAGUAGAGGAAAGUGGAAUUCCUAGUGUAGCGGUGGAAGGCGUAGAUAUUAGGAGGAACAUAAGUGGCGAAGGCGACUUUCUGGACUGUAACUGACGCUGAGGCACGAAAGCAUGGGGUUCAAACAGG